CAUAUAUAAAUUACGGGAGGAGGAACACUGUCGGUCUAGUGUGUUAUCCACAUUGAAAUACAACCCUUAUUUUCAGGGGGUAAGGGCUUUGACUGGUUUGGGAUUCCGUUGCAAGAGAAGGAUGCCGUUGAAAUUUUAGAUAUCGGUACAUACCAAGCCACUGUGAAAUUCUGUGAGAUCUUGUUCAAGAACAGAGAACCUGACCAGAAAAAGUCUAAUUCGUGUGACUUGAUGGUACCAGAUUUCUUUAAGUGGUCAUACGUCAACGAUGAUGGUGGAGAAAUAACAUUAAAUUAUUGGCCCAACAAGCAACAAACACUCCGGAGUCGUUUAAGAUUCAAUUCUGUUUCUGAUGUAAUGGUUGAAGAGGGCGAGAUAUUGAGGCGCAGUAAGGUUAACCAGCCAGCAAAUGAUGAUGAUGAUGGUCUGGGAGGAUUCCCCUUUGACGGUGAAGAAGCUGAGACAGAAUAGAAGAAUAGAAUUUAUUUAUUACAACUUCUUCAUAUGUUUAGAGGAUGCAACAAUCUUCCUGAAGAGGUGAAAACUGUUUGGGGAUGCCAACACUUGCACUGAAGUCAGGGAAUUGCCUGCGGGCCAAGAGGCUGGAGCUCAUAUGACUCCUUUUCUUGGAUCAUAUCAGAAGAGGAGUUCCUAAGAAAAAAAAAAAAUAUCAUCUCUUACAGUUUACUUGCACAUGGAUAUAAGAUGAUUGGGGAGGGUGAUCCCUGAUCCAGAUAGAUGACCUCCUUCUAAGGGUGGUAAAGGGUUUUCUGAAGUAGCCAACCAAGUUCCUGCCAUGGGUUUGAAGUACGGGAUUCAUGUCAUGAGGGGAAUAAUUGCACAAGCAGUCAAUGCAAACACACCAAUCUUGGACAUCACAAAGUAAAGCAUGACUGCAUCUUUAGUGAUUACUUGGACAUGAAUGAGAUAAGAACUGUGUCAGAGGGACUUUGCUAAUGCUGGUAUGGUAGGGGCCAGUGAUUUGCAGGGGAAGUCAUAGCCUGACUUAGAGAUGUUACCACUGGUGUGGCUAACUGAUCCAGGUGAAAAGCAAGGAGAUGAAGAGAGCCCAAACUGUUGCUUUCCCUUUUAAGAGAUUCCCAUUCUGAUGAUAGUUAAUCCAAUCAAGGCUCAAUAGUGGAGUAUGUGUGGUUUGCUAUGGGUUCUGACAUGAGAAGCUUUGAGGCAAGGUACUGUAAAUUCAUCUACCUAGCUGAUCCCAACUAAUCAGAUUUGAGGAUGAUCACCUUCUGAUCCUCAAAACAGAAGAUGAAGGCCUUGCUGGAAUGCACCAAUGCCUUUGGUAUCCCAGAAGUCUUGGAUGCUUCUUGCUUGAACUCUGCCUUAUUAAGAGGCCUUAAAUUAUUGCAAUGGAUUUGUUCAAAUGUUAUUUUCUAUUUUUUACUGUAGACCACCAUCUACUUUCA
Macadamia integrifolia is the source of this 1427-nucleotide long non-coding RNA. RefSeq lists it as uncharacterized. NCBI's taxonomy places the organism in Eukaryota, Viridiplantae, Streptophyta, Magnoliopsida, Proteales, Proteaceae. The transcript is spliced from 6 exons. The record is from RefSeq and is a predicted model, not a curated record.